Molecule: ribosomal RNA, 253 nt
Filed under: uncultured bacterium
Lineage: Bacteria
Description: partial 16S ribosomal RNA
Rfam family: Bacterial small subunit ribosomal RNA
Source: RNAcentral
UACGUAGGGCGCAAGCGUUGUCCGGAAUUAUUGGGCGUAGAGAGCUCGUAGGCGGUCUGUCGCGUCGGCUGUGAAAACUCGAGGCUCAACUCCGAGCUUGCAGUCGAUACGGGCAGGCUAGAGUUCGGCAGGGGAGACUGGAAUUCCUGGUGUAGCGGUGAAAUGCGCAGAUAUCAGGAGGAACACCGGUGGCGAAGGCGAGUCCCUGGACAAUACCUGACACUGAGGCACGAAAGCUAGGGGAGCAAACAGG